RNAcentral lists this ribosomal RNA (264 nucleotides) under uncultured archaeon. RNAcentral's name for it is "partial 16S ribosomal RNA". It matches the Rfam family "Archaeal small subunit ribosomal RNA", at positions 717 to 982 of the family's 1478-position model. The record is from RNAcentral.
ACACGACUACAUUAGAUACCCGGGUAGUCCUAGCCGUAAACGAUACUCGCUAGGUGUCGGCCACGGUGCGACCGUUGUCGGUGCCGUAGGGAAGCCGUGAAGCGAGCCACCUGGGAAGUACGGCCGCAAGGCUGAAACUUAAAGGAAUUGGCGGGGAGCACCACAACGGGUGGAGCUUGCGGUUUAAUUGGAUUCAACGCCGGAAAUCUUACCGGGACCGACAGCAACAUGAAGGCCAAGCUGAAGACUUUGCCGGAUUAGCUG